GGGGGAAUAUUGGGGGCAAUGGGGGCGCAAGCCUGACCCAGCAACGCCGCGUGAAGGAAGAAGGCUUUCGGGUUGUAAACUUCUUUUAAGGGGGAAGAGGAGAAGACGGUACCCCUAGAAUAAGCCACGGCUAACUACGUGCCAGCAGCCGCGGUAAUACGUAGGUGGCAAGCGUUGUCCGGAUUUACUGGGUGUAAAGGGUGCGCAGGCGGGACUGCAAGUUGGAUGUGAAAUACCGGAGCUCAACUCCGGAACUGCAUCCAAAACUGUAGUUCUUGAGUGGAGUAGAGGUAAGCGGAAUUCCGAGUGUAGCGGUGAAAUGCGUAGAUAUUCGGAGGAACACCAGUGGCGAAGGCGGCUUACUGGGCUCUAACUGACGCUGAGGCACGAAAGUGUGGGUAGCAAACAGGAUUAGAUACCCUGGUAGU
Molecule: ribosomal RNA, 428 nt
Filed under: uncultured Clostridium sp.
Lineage: Bacteria; Bacillati; Bacillota; Clostridia; Eubacteriales; Clostridiaceae
Description: bacterial SSU rRNA
Rfam family: Bacterial small subunit ribosomal RNA
Source: RNAcentral